Molecule: unclassified non-coding RNA, 289 nt
Filed under: uncultured fungus
Lineage: Eukaryota; Fungi
Description: sequence contains ITS1
Source: RNAcentral
GUAUAGGUUUAAUGACUGCGCGAGCGCAAGUCUUUAAAAGACAUUCUGUAACUUUUAUAGUGUAUAUGAAAACAUAGCCUUGAAAGCGAGCAGGGGAAUGAGGCCUUGCGGCGACUCAAAAUCCCCCCAACCGCAUCGCUGCGAGAGGUUCACUUUGGAUUCAAGGACUACAAGAGGUGCACAAGAGAAGAUAAAUAGACGUGGAGCGAGCACAUGCCCCGCAAAGGGCCAGCAUCAGAACCAGCGUUCGUAUUCAAUAAUGAUCCUUCCGCAGGUUCACCUACGGAAA